RNAcentral lists this ribosomal RNA (741 nucleotides) under Gluconobacter oxydans. Its description in RNAcentral is "bacterial SSU rRNA". It matches the Rfam family "Bacterial small subunit ribosomal RNA", at positions 40 to 825 of the family's 1533-position model. The record is from RNAcentral. Lineage: Bacteria; Pseudomonadati; Pseudomonadota; Alphaproteobacteria; Acetobacterales; Acetobacteraceae.
CGGCAUGCUUAACACAUGCAAGUCGCACGAAGGUUUCGGCCUUAGUGGCGGACGGGUGAGUAACGCGUAGGGAUCUAUCCACGGGUGGGGGACAACUUCGGGAAACUGGAGCUAAUACCGCAUGAUACCUGAGGGUCAAAGGCGCAAGUCGCCUGUGGAGGAACCUGCGUUCGAUUAGCUAGUUGGUGGGGUAAAGGCCUACCAAGGCGAUGAUCGAUAGCUGGUUUGAGAGGAUGAUCAGCCACACUGGGACUGACACACCGCCCACACUCCUACGGGAGGCAGCAGUGGGGAAUAUUGGACAAUGGGCGCAAGCCUGAUCCAGCAAUGCCGCGUGUGUGAAGAAGGUCUUCGGAUUGUAAAGCACUUUCGACGGGGACGAUGAUGACGGUACCCGUAAAAGACCCCCCGGCUAACUUCGUGCCAGCAGCCGCGGUAAUACGAAGGGGGCUAGCGUUGCUCGGAAUGACUGGGCGUAAAGGGCGCGUAGGCGGUUGUUACAGUCAGAUGUGAAAUCCCCGGGCUUAACCUGGGAACUGCAUUUGAUACGUGACGACUAGAGUUCGAGAGAGGGUUGUGGAAUUCCCAGUGUAGAGGUGAAAUUCGUAGAUAUUGGGAAGAACACCGGUGGCGAAGGCGGCUACCUGGCUCGAUACUGACGCUGAGGCGCGAAAGCGUGGGGAGCAAACAGGAUUAGAUACCCUGGUAGUCCACGCUGUAAACGAUGUGUGCUGGAUGUUG